Molecule: ribosomal RNA, 492 nt
Filed under: uncultured bacterium
Lineage: Bacteria
Description: partial 16S ribosomal RNA
Rfam family: Bacterial small subunit ribosomal RNA
Source: RNAcentral
AGUGAACGCUGGCGGCAGGCCUAACACAUGCAAGUCGAACGGCAGCACAGUAAGAGCUUGCUCUUACGGGUGGCGAGUGGCGGACGGGUGAGGAAGACAUCGGAAUCUACUUUUUCGUGGGGGAUAACGUAGGGAAACUUACGCGAAGACCGCAUACGACCUACGGGUGAAAGCAGGGGAUCUUCGGACCUGGCGCGAGUGAAUGAGCCGAUGUCGGAUUAGCUAGUUGGCGGGGUAACGGCCGACCAAGGCGACGAUCCGUAGCUGGUCUGAGAGGAUGAUCAGCCACACUGUAACUGAGCCACGGUCCAGACUCCUACGCUAGGCCGCAGUGGGGAAUCUUGGACAAUGGGCGCGAGCCUGAUCCAGCCAUACCGCGUGGGUGCAGAAGGACUUCGGGUUGUAAAGCCCUUUUGUUGGGAAAGAAGAGCAGCAGGUUAAUCCCCCGCUGUUCUGACGGUACCCAAAGAAUAAGCACCGGCUAACUUCGUG